GCUGGCGGCAGGCCUAACACAUGCAAGUCGAACGGAGUUAUAUUGUAGCUUGCUAUGGUAUAACUUAGUGGCAGACGGGUGAGUAAUGUAUAGGAAUCUACCUAGUAGUACGGAAUAAUUGUUGGAAACGGCAACUAAUACCGUAUACGCCCUACGGGGGAAAAAUUUAUUGCUAUUAGAUGAGCCUAUAUUAGAUUAGCUAGUUGGUGGAGUAAUAGCCUACCAAGGCAAUGAUCUAUAGCUGAUCUGAGAGGAUGAUCAGCCACACUGGAACUGAGAUACGGUCCAGACUCCUACGGGAGGCAGCAGUGGGGAAUAUUGGACAAUGGGCGAAAGCCUGAUCCAGCCAUGCCGCAUGAGUGAAGAAGGCCUUUGGGUUGUAAAGCUCUUUUAGUGAGGAAGAUAAUGACGGUACUCACAGAAGAAGUCCUGGCUAACUCCGUGCCAGCAGCCGCGGUAAUACGGAGAGGGCUAGCGUUAUUCGGAAUUAUUGGGCGUAAAGGGCGCGUAGGCGGAUUAGUAAGUUAAAAGUGAAAUCCCAAGGCUCAACCUUGGAAUUGCUUUUAAAACUGCUAAUCUAGAGAUUGAAAGAGGAUAGAGGAAUUCCUAGUGUAGAGGUGAAGUUCGUAAAUAUUAGGAGGAACACCAGUGGCGAAGGCGUCUAUCUGGUUCAAAUCUGACGCUGAGGCGCGAAGGCGUGGGGAGCAAACAGGAUUAGAUACCCUGGUAGUCCACGCUGUAAACGAUGAAUGUUAAAUAUGGGAAGUUUUACUUUCUGUAUUACAGCUAACGCGUUAAACAUUCCGCCUGGGGACUACGGUCGCA
Molecule: ribosomal RNA, 825 nt
Filed under: uncultured bacterium
Lineage: Bacteria
Description: bacterial SSU rRNA
Rfam family: Bacterial small subunit ribosomal RNA
Source: RNAcentral